AGUGAACGCUGGCGGUAGGCCUAACACAUGCAAGUCGAACGGCAGCACAGUAAGAGCUUGCUCUUACGGGUGGCGAGUGGCGGACGGGUGAGGAAUACAUCGGAAUCUACUUUUUCGUGGGGGAUAACGUAGGGAAACUUACGCUAAUACCGCAUACGACCUACGGGUGAAAGCAGGGGAUCUUCGGACCUUGCGCGAUUGAAUGAGCCGAUGUCGGAUUAGCUAGUUGGCGGGGUAACGGCCCACCAAGGCGACGAUCCGUAGCUGGUCUGAGAGGAUGAUCAGCCACACUGGAACUGAGACACGGUCCAGACUCCUACGGGAGGCAGCAGUGGGGAAUAUUGGACAAUGGGCGCAAGCCUGAUCCAGCCCUACCGCGUGGGUGAAGAAGGCCUUCGGGUUGUAAAGCCCUUUUGUUGGGAAAGAAAAGCAGCAGGUUAAUACCCCGCUGUUCUGACGGUACCCAAAGAAUAAGCACCGGCUAACUUCGUG
RNAcentral lists this ribosomal RNA (492 nucleotides) under uncultured bacterium. RNAcentral's name for it is "partial 16S ribosomal RNA". It matches the Rfam family "Bacterial small subunit ribosomal RNA", at positions 29 to 507 of the family's 1533-position model. The record is from RNAcentral.